CAGUCGCCACGGUAAUACGUAGGGUGCAAGCGUUAAUCGGAAUUACUGGGCGUAAAGCGUGCGCAGGCGGCUUCUUAAGUCGGAUGUGAAAUCCCUGAGCUUAACUUAGGAAUUGCAUUCGAUACUGGGAAGCUAGAGUAUGGGAGAGGAUGGUAGAAUUCCAGUUGUAGCGGUGAAAUGCGUAGAGAUCUGGAGGAAUACCGAUGGCGAAGGCAGCCAUCUGGCCUAAUACUGACGCUGAGGUACGAAAGCAUGGGGAGCAAACAGGAUUAGAUACCCGUGUAGUCCCUGUCUCUUAUAU
This 301-nucleotide ribosomal RNA is filed under the name uncultured bacterium. RNAcentral describes it as "partial 16S ribosomal RNA". It matches the Rfam family "Bacterial small subunit ribosomal RNA", at positions 509 to 809 of the family's 1533-position model. The record is from RNAcentral.